GGCUUGUCCAAGUGCAGUGGUGUUUACAACUAAUUGAUCACAAGCAGUUGUAGAUGUAGUUCUUCUCCACUCCCACUGCUUCGCUUGACUACCCUUAA
Molecule: Y RNA, 98 nt
Organism: Callithrix jacchus (white-tufted-ear marmoset)
Lineage: Eukaryota; Metazoa; Chordata; Mammalia; Primates; Cebidae
Rfam family: Y RNA
About the family: Y RNAs are components of the Ro ribonucleoprotein particle (Ro RNP), in association with Ro60 and La proteins. The Y RNAs and Ro60 and La proteins are well conserved, but the function of the Ro RNP is not known.
Source: Ensembl